RNAcentral lists this ribosomal RNA (490 nucleotides) under uncultured bacterium. RNAcentral's name for it is "partial 16S ribosomal RNA". It matches the Rfam family "Bacterial small subunit ribosomal RNA", at positions 29 to 507 of the family's 1533-position model. The record is from RNAcentral.
AGUGAACGCUGGCGGCAGGCCUAACACAUGCAAGUCGAACGGCAGCACAAGAGAGCUUGCUCUCUGGGUGGCGAGUGGCGGACGGGUGAGGAAUGCAUCGGAAUCUGCCCAUUUGUGGGGGAUAACCUCGGGAAACCGGGACUAAUACCGCAUACGUCCUACGGGUGAAAGCAGGGGAUCUUCGGACCUUGCGCAGAUGGAUGAGCCGAUGCCGGAUUAGCUAGUUGGAGGGGUAAAGGCCCACCAAGGCGACGAUCCGUAGCUGGUCUGAGAGGAUGAUCAGCCACACUGGGACUGAGACACGGCCCAGACUCCUACGGGAGGCAGCAGUGGGGAAUAUUGGACAAUGGGCGCAAGCCUGAUCCAGCCAUGCCGCGUGUGUGAAGAAGGCCUUCGGGUUGUAAAGCACUUUUGUUGGGAAAGAAAAGCAGCCGGUUAAUACCCGGUUGUCAUGACGGUACCCAAAGAAUAAGCACCGGCUAACUUCGUG